Molecule: long non-coding RNA, 3552 nt
Filed under: Salmo salar (Atlantic salmon)
Lineage: Eukaryota; Metazoa; Chordata; Actinopteri; Salmoniformes; Salmonidae
Description: lncRNA (ENSSSAG00000116493.1)
Rfam family: UnaL2 LINE 3' element (bases 66-119)
Source: RNAcentral
CCCCCCAAAAAAAAGAUAUAGAUGUACUAUUGUAAAGUGGUUGUUCCACUGGAUAUCAUAAGGUGAAUGCACCAAUUUGUAAGUCGCUCUGGAUAAGAGCGUCUGCUAAAUGACGUAAAUGUAAAUGUAAAAAAAUGUCAUGCUAUUUUACCGAUUUUGCCAUGAGGCUAAGAGAAAAUGAUGCCGUUUUAAAGCUUUUUAAUUGCUUCCUGCAAUUCGAAGAAACAAAAAAAUGACUUGUUCAUAUGCUAUCCGGUGGGCCUGACCCAAAGCUUGUGGGCCCUCCUGCCUUGUGGGGACCAGGGCUGUGUGCUACACCAGGUGGGCCUGACCUCUGGGUGGGAAAACCCAAAGCUUGUGGGCCCUCCUGCCUUGCGGGAACCAGGGUUGUGUGCUACACCAAGUGGAUCUGACUUGUGGGACAAAUCACAGCAGGGUUUAUCAACAGGACCCUGAGGUUUCCUGACCAGGUAAAACUCUGGGCCCUCAGCUACGGCUACAGCUUAGUAUAACUGGUACAGGAAUAUGUAUGGUGUUCUCCAUGGCUCCACCACUAGUGAUGAUGCUUCUCCUGUUCUGCCUCCUCUGGCCACAUUCAUUCUCACAGCAUUCAUAUGUGAUUGGAAAACUUUCCUAGGAAUCCAAAAUGCUUGGACCAUCUCAAAGGCGAAGUGAUAUGCAGACCUAUUGCAAAGUGAUGGGACAUCAACAUGAGGAGAAAAUGUUCACGUACAAGUAUGAACAAAUCUAAUCUACCCCCCCAUGCAGAAUAUUACUAUAGUAAAUAUUCAUACGCAGCGUUACGUUGCAGACAAAAUGGCAAUAGACAUUAGAUGCCCAACAGUGCCACCAUGUGAAUAAAAACAAAUUUGACAGAAAUAAAAAUAUAUUUGUUAAACUGUCUCCUCCCCUUCAUCUACACUGAUUUGAAGUGGAUUUAACAGGUGACAUCAAUAAAUGGUCAUAGCUUUUACCUGGAUUCACCUGGUCAGUCUGUGUCAUGGAAAGAGCAGGUUUUCCUAAUGUUUUGUCCACCCCAGUGUACACCUCUGCAUACUACCAUACAAAUCCUAUUUUUUCCUUCAAUCUGGUUUUUAACCACAUGGUGGUGAUGUUGCCCAGCUAAUGCCUAUUGCCAUUUUGUCUGCAAUGUAAUGGUGGCAUACUGUUUGCUGCUGGCUAGCUGCCAGGCGCACCAGUUUGAGUGUGUCAAGAACUGUAACAUUUCUGGGUUUUUCACAUUCAACAGUUUCCCAUGUGUAUCAAGAAUGGUCCACCACCCAAAGGACAUCCAGUCAACUGGACAAUUGAGGGAAGCAUUGGAGUCAACAUGGACCAUUAUCCCUGUGGAACGAUCUGACAACUUUUAGAGUCUACAACAAACUUACCUGUUUAUCCCGCAAGAUCCAGGGUCUGGAAGCUAUGGGUCAGCAGCAGUGCAGCACCCCUGGAGUGAUUGUAGGGGGUUAAGUGCCUUGCUCAAGGGAGAAGAUACGGUCGUUCUCAAAGUGCCUUGCUCAAGGGAGGAGGUACGGUCGUUCUCAAAGUGCCUUGCUCAAGGGAGAAGGUACGGUCGUUCUCAACGUGCCUUGCUCAAGGGAGAAGGUACGGUCGUUCUCAAAGUGCCUUGCUCAAGGGAGAAGGUACGGUCGUUCUCAAAGCGGGACAGACAGACACACUGAUGGAACUUCACAUCCUCUAACUCUACAGACUUAUGCUUCCUGUAUAGGGCAGCAUAGGAGAGGACACUUACGCUUCCUAUAGAGGGCAGCACAGGAGAGGACACUUACUCUUCCUUCCUGUAUAGGGCAACACAGGAGAGGACACUUACGCUUCCUGUAUAGGGCAGCACAGGAGAGGACACUUACGCUUCCUGUAGAGGGCAGCACAGGAGAGGACACUUACUCUUCCUGUAGAGGGCAGCACAGGAGAGGACACUUACACUUCCUGUAGAGGGCAGCACAGGAGAGGACACUUACUCUUCCUGUAUAGGGCAGCACAGGAGAGGACACUUACUCUUCCUGUAGAGGGCAGCACAGGAGGACACUUACUCUUUCUGUAGAGGGCAGCACAGGAGAGGACACUUACGCUUCCUUCCUGUAUAGGGCAGCACAGGAGAGGACACUUACGCUUCCUUCCUGUAUAGGGCAGCACAGGAGAGGACACUUAUGCUUCCUUCCUGUAGAGGGCAGCACAGGAGAGGACACUUACACUUCCUUCCUGUAGAGGGCAGCACAGGAUAGGUGACCACAUAAAAAGGUUCAAAUUUACAUUUUUCAUUGUAACAAGGACAAUAAAGUUGUAAUGUAUUUGUUGGUGAAUAUAACAGUAACACUGAGUUUAGGCUACUUUGAAAGACAACUAGCAGCACUUUAGGGUCUGAAACACUGGUGCUCUGUGUGUGGCUCAACUGGUAGAGCAUGACACUUACAUUGUCAGGGUUGUGGGUUCAAUUCCCACAGGACGCCAGUAUGAAAAUGUAUGCACUCACUACUGUAAGUUGCUCUGGAUCUGCUAAAUGACUGAAAAUGUGAGGGCUGUGUGUGGAGACCAUGAUAGAAUAGCACUGACAUUGUGGGUUAGUUUUGCUUAUUAAAUCUAAUUCUUACUAAACAUGCACUGAAUAAAAACAGGUGAAGACCUUACCGUGAAAUGGUUACUUAGAAGCCCCUAACCCACAAUGCAGUUCAAGAAAUAGAGUUAAGAAAAUAUUUACUAAAUAAACUAAAAGUAAAAAAUAAAAUAAAGAGUAACACAAAAUUACAAAACAAUAACAAGGCUAUAUACAGCGGGUACUGGUACCGAGUCAAUGUGGGGGAGUACAGGUUUGUUGAGGUAAUCUGUACAUGAAGGUAGAGGUAAAGUGACAUAGAUAAUAAACAGUAGCAGCAGUGUAAAAACAAACAGUAUCAAUGUAGAUAGUCCGGGAUACAAUUUGAUUAGCUGUUCAGCAGUCUUAUGGCUUGGGGGUAGAAGCUGUUAAGGAGCCUUUUGGACCUAGACUUGGCGCUCCGGUAGCGCUUGCCGUGCGAUAGCAGAGAGAACAGUCUAUGACUUGGGUGACUGGAGUCUGACAAUUUUUUGGGCUUUCCUCUGACUAGUAAAUAGGUCCUGGAUGGCAGGAAGCUUGCCCCCAAUGAUGUACUGGGCCGUACGCACUACCCUCUGUACUAUGACAGUGAUACGUAGUUGUCUUACCUAGAUACUUUAAGAUGAAUUCACUAACUGUCUCUCUGGAAAAUUGAUAGGGAAUCGAAGAUCAACAAAAACAAACAAACAUUCAAAAAGGGGUGAAUCUUUUUAAAUUCCAAACGUUUCCAAAACCGUAUCGUAAACGAGGAUUAUCGACGUUACAAAAACCGCUAAAAACAGAGCAUCGGGAUUGUAGUUCACAUGGAGCCAGCUGUUGUCCAUACCAUCAGCUGAGAAGCCAAGACGGGGACCGGCUGUAAGGCACCGUCGGUUCUCCAGCGCUAAGCACACUGUAGAUAUAUGGAUAAGGCUCAAGUGCUGGAUCUCAGGACACGUCAACGUCUCCAAGGUAGUCCCAAC